UGAAUACGAGACGCUAAGGCGUCGAAGUAGUGUAUGUCAUACUUCCAAGAAAAGCUUGCACUGUCAUAAGUAAAAAAUGCCUGUACCAUAACCGACACAGGUGGGUAGGUAGAGUAUACUAAGGGGCGCGAGAUAACUCUCUCUAAGGAACUCGGCAAAAUAACUCCGUAACUUCGGGAGAAGGAGUACCUUAUUCUAUAAGGUUGCAAUAACAAGAUCCAAGCAACUGUUUAUCAAAAACACAGGUCUCCGCUAAGUCGUAAGACGAUGUAUGGGGGCUGACGCCUGCCCAGUGCCAGAAGGUUAAAGAAGUCGGUUAGCAUUAGCGAAGCUGGUAACUGAAGCCCUGGUGAACGGCGGCCGUAACAAUAACGGUCCUAAGGUAGCGAAAUUCCUUGUCGGGUAAGUUCCGACCCGCACGAAAGGCGUAAUGAUUUGGAUACUGUCUCGGAGAGGGGCUCGGUGAAAUAGACUUGUCUGUGAAGAUGCGGACUACCUGCACCAGGACAGAAAGACCCUAUGAAGCUUUACUGUAACUUGAAAUUGAAAUUGGACUUUAUUCGCGCAGUAUAGGUGGGAGGUGUUGAUUAUAAUCUUGCGGGAUUAUUGGAGCCAUCAGUGAGAUACCACUCUUGUAAUGUUAGAUCUCUAACUUUGAAUCAUUAUCUGGUCAAAGGACAGUUUCAGGCGGGCAGUUUGACUGGGGCGGUCGCCUCCCAAACGGUAACGGAGGCGUACAAAGGUUUCCUCUGAACGGGUAGAAAUCGUAUCUAGAGUGUAAAGGCAUAAGGAAGCUUGACUGUGAGACCUACAAGUCGAACAGGGACGAAAGUCGGUCUUAGUGAUCUGACGGUACUGAGUGGAAAGGCCGUCACUCAACGGAUAAAAGUUACUCUAGGAUAACAGGCUGAUCUCCCCCAAGAGUUCACAUCGACGGGGAGGUUUGGCACCUCGAUGUCGGCUCAUCGCAUCCUGGGGCGGUAGUACGUCCCAAGGGUUGGGCUGUUCGCCCAUGAAAGCGGUACGCGAGCUGGGUUCAGAACGUCGUGAGACAGUUCGGACCAUAUCCGGUGUAGGCGUUAGAAUAUUGAGAGGAGCCUUCUUUAGUACGAGAGGACCGAGAAGGACAUACCUCUGGUGUACCAGUUAUCGUGCCAACGGUAAACGCUGGGUAGCUAUGUAUGGAGUGGAUAACCGCUGAAAGCAUCUAAGUGGGAAGCCCACCUCAAGAUAAGUAUUCU
Molecule: ribosomal RNA, 1241 nt
Filed under: metagenome
Description: bacterial LSU rRNA
Rfam family: Bacterial large subunit ribosomal RNA
Source: RNAcentral